Non-coding RNA from Caenorhabditis elegans, 21 nucleotides. NCBI's taxonomy places the organism in Eukaryota, Metazoa, Nematoda, Chromadorea, Rhabditida, Rhabditidae. The record is from Ensembl.
UUUCAUUCUUUUUGUUGCCAA